UUUACUUUUGACUUGACUUGAAACUCUUAACUUAACUUAAGACUUGAUACUCUUAACUCGACUUGAGACUUGAAACGACGUUAAGACGUUCAAUAACGACUCUUGAAAAGCUUUAACGACUUGCCUUGACUUGCUUAACUUCUAAGCUUGGCGCUAACUUCACUUGACUUGGAAUCUAAUUUUCUUGAAUUGAAUUAUGGAUUCAAGGACUUGAUUGGUGUUUGGAAGGACCUCAUGAUGUUUAGGAAUGAUUUAGGAAUGAUUUGGGACAGCCAAACUUAAGAAAAUCUUCGAACAUAAAUUCUGAAAACAGUGGAGUCCGCGUCCUGUCCGCGACGCGGAGAAGAUUUUUGUUCACAGAGGGAACAAGUCCGCGACACGGACUUGUUUCAUGUAAGAAGCCCGACUUCCUCCUUCAUUUUUUUCCAACUCUAAAACCCUUUUAACUUCAAAGGUUCCAACCCUAAACACUUAGAAUCCUUAAAACCCUUUAAUAUGCAAUAGAUUUCAACUCAAAAACACAACUCAAUCAUGU
RNAcentral lists this long non-coding RNA (535 nucleotides) under Solanum tuberosum (potato). RNAcentral describes it as "long non-coding RNA (STUB_LNC007323)". The record is from RNAcentral. Lineage: Eukaryota; Viridiplantae; Streptophyta; Magnoliopsida; Solanales; Solanaceae.